Molecule: ribosomal RNA, 496 nt
Filed under: uncultured bacterium
Lineage: Bacteria
Description: partial 16S ribosomal RNA
Rfam family: Bacterial small subunit ribosomal RNA
Source: RNAcentral
GAUGAACGCUGGCGGCGUGCCUAAUACAUGCAAGUCGAGCGAACAGACGAGGAGCUUGCUCCUCUGACGUUAGCGGCGGACGGGUGAGUAACACGUGGAUAACCUACCUAUAAGACUGGGAUAACUUCGGGAAACCGGAGCUAAUACCGGAUAAUAUAUUGAACCGCAUGGUUCAAUAGUGAAAGACGGUUUUGCUGUCACUUAUAGAUGGAUCCGCGCCGCAUUAGCUAGUUGGUAAGGUAACGGCUUACCAAGGCAACGAUGCGUAGCCGACCUGAGAGGGUGAUCGGCCACACUGGAACUGAGACACGGUCCAGACUCCUACGGGAGGCAGCAGUAGGGAAUCUGCCGCAAUGGGCGAAAGCCUGACGGAGCAACGCCGCGUGAGUGAUGAAGGUCUUCGGAUCGUAAAACUCUGUUAUUAGGGAAGAACAAAUGUGUAAGUAACUAUGCACGUCUUGACGGGACCUAAUCAGAAAGCCACGGCUAACUACGU